AAGACCUUAAGUUAAUCAAACUAAUAACCUUCAAAGUUAAAAUUAAAAGUUACCUUUUAGGUCUUAG
This 67-nucleotide transfer RNA is filed under the name Oedipoda caerulescens. Its description in RNAcentral is "tRNA-Trp". The record is from RNAcentral. Lineage: Eukaryota; Metazoa; Arthropoda; Insecta; Orthoptera; Acrididae.